Thalassophryne amazonica is the source of this 120-nucleotide long non-coding RNA. RefSeq lists it as uncharacterized. The record is from RefSeq and is a predicted model, not a curated record. The transcript is spliced from 3 exons. NCBI's taxonomy places the organism in Eukaryota, Metazoa, Chordata, Actinopteri, Batrachoidiformes, Batrachoididae.
CUCAUGGAGAGUGAAACACAGAAGGAUUUUCAUACAAGAAAACAGAUCAAAUCCAGGCCUGCAUCUUCCAUGUGUCUUCUGACAAACUGGAGCUGAGGUUUCACAUCUGUUUUAUAAGAA